This 207-nucleotide long non-coding RNA is filed under the name Elaeis guineensis (African oil palm). RNAcentral's name for it is "long non-coding RNA (EGUI_LNC039966)". Lineage: Eukaryota; Viridiplantae; Streptophyta; Magnoliopsida; Arecales; Arecaceae. The record is from RNAcentral.
UCCACUUGCACUUAAGUCAAUCGUCCCUAUACUAGAUACCCAUGCUAUUAAGGUAGCGAUCACACUGUUGCUAUGAUAAGGCUUAAUGAACAGGUCUACCAUGCAUGUCUUUGUAUCAACUCACUUUAUGAUCAUAUCAUGAAUGAGGUGAAAGGGGCUUAGAAUGUGCAUUCUUCUGAUGAGACCAUACCCAAUUCUGUGAUGAAC